Molecule: ribosomal RNA, 624 nt
Filed under: Triticum aestivum (bread wheat)
Lineage: Eukaryota; Viridiplantae; Streptophyta; Magnoliopsida; Poales; Poaceae
Description: partial small subunit ribosomal RNA
Source: RNAcentral
AUGUACAUGGUCCAUGCUAGGCAUGAUGGAGAGGAACGCCUGCCUCCAUAUCUCCUAUCCUUCACAUGCAUGGUGUCAUGUCAAACCUCAAAGGUAUAUAGUACGUGUGUGCAUGCACCACCAAACAAAACACCUAAAGCUCACCACGGCAGGCUCACGUACGUACGGCGCCAAAGCCAGGAAAGCCAAGGCCAAAUCCACCCUAUAUAUGCGGCGUGUGUUGCCGUUGCCGACAGACGGCUCACUUCAAACACCUUGAGCUCCUCACAAGUCAUUUCUAGGAGCCUCACCAACAUGUGCAGCUCUGCAUCCUGGAACUCCUCACCUCCUGCUGUGCUGUUCAUCAGGCAGCAGGGGAAGAAGAAGCCACAUGUCUCAGUGACUCUCAGGAGGAAGAGGUUAAGGCUGAUCAGGAGGAGGAGGAGGGAGCUGAGGAGGGCGGCUGCUGGAGGGGCGGAGAUGGCGAUGCUGAACCUGAGGCUCCACCUGGAGAACCGGCGCAUCCUUGCGGAGAACGAGAGGCUCCGGGAGAGGGCUGGCGCGCUCCGCCGCGAGAACCUCGCGCUGCAUGCCAACCUGUGCAAGGUGGUGCUACCGCCGGCAGAGGCUGCCCCCGGCUGCUGA